Hibiscus syriacus is the source of this 1510-nucleotide RNA transcript. It is a transcript of the gene named transcription factor MYBC1-like, with no coding region annotated. The record is from RefSeq and is a predicted model, not a curated record. Lineage: Eukaryota; Viridiplantae; Streptophyta; Magnoliopsida; Malvales; Malvaceae. The transcript has 3 exons.
AGAAGAAAAACAGAGAUCCACCUCGAACCUCCCUCCUCUCUCAAUCUGAUUUCGGUUUCUUACAUGCGAUUUCCUCUUAUCUUGUAAGUCAAAUCCUGAUAUUCCAUCACCUUUCGUUGCUGGUGCAGUGAGCUGAGUUAAAGAGCCUUUGGGGUUCGUUAUUUUGUGAAUAAUUCAAUUAUGAGGGAAGAAGACUCUAAUUGGUUCUCCAGAUGGAAGGAACAGCUUCCAUCCCCGGAGGAGCUUAUGCCUCUUUCCCAAUCCCUUAUUACUCCCGAUCUUGCUCUCGCCUUCGAUAUCCGUAACCCCGACCAUGCCCACCACCAACACCCACCCCCUCCUUCUCAACCCUCCUUAUCCGAAUUCGCUGCCGAUUCCGGCGACUUGGGAUACGGGGCGGCCGGAGAUGAGCCGACUCGCACUCUCAAGCGGCCUCGUCUCGUGUGGACCCCACAGCUACACAAGAGAUUCGUUGACGCCGUGGCUCAUCUGGGGAUCAAGAACGCUGUCCCCAAGACCAUAAUGCAGUUGAUGAGUGUUGAUGGCCUGACGAGAGAAAACGUUGCUAGCCAUUUGCAGAAGUAUCGCCUUUAUUUGAAGAGAAUGCAGGGCUUGUCUGGUGGUAGUGGAGGAGGCUGUGCCAAUGGCGGAUCUGGGGGUGCCGGAUUAGGGGUUUCGACUGAUCCCGCGACGGACCGUUUGUUUGCAAGCUCACCGGUUCCACCACACUUUCUUCAUCCUGGUAGUAGGGCUAAUUCAGAGCAUUUCUUACCCUUCGUGUCAGUGCCGGCAUUGCAGCAUCACCAUCAUCACCAGCAACAGCAAAUGGUGGCAGCCGCGGUAGGACAUCCUCAUUUACAGUCUCAGUAUCAUAGGCCGCAAAUGGGGCAUUACGUGUCAUCUCCAAAUAGCCAAUUUGAGCAUCCCUUCUUAGGCAGGCAGACGCAGCAACCAAUGCAUAGGAUUGGAGGGAUGCCUGUGCAUAAUCAAGCGGCCAGUAGUUAUGUUGAAGAUUUGGAAUCUGCCAAUGGGAAUGGUGGAAGGAAGGUUCUUACAUUAUUUCCUACCGGGAAUGAUUGAUUCAAAACUUUGUGAUCCUGAGGGGGUGAUGAGGACUGGAAAUGAACUUGAAUUUCUGAAUUUGAUCUUGAGCUGGAUUCAUCGUCUUUCGGCCAAUAAGGUGGUUUUGAGGCUACAUGACUAAAUUUUGAGCUUGAGGUGGGAGAAAAAGACAUGCUGACCAUCCCUAGUCAGUGUCUUUAUCUGUUACAGUGGGUAUUGAGUUUCUCUUCUGUGUUAAUCGUCUGUUUUUCUUAGUUCUGUGUUAUGUAGAGGUAAGCUGUACUUGUACAUUGUAUGACUCCAUAGAAGACUUUGGACCUGUGAUAUGAAGAGCAACUCAGGGAUCCCUGACUUCUUUUCUCUUCCUUUUUUCUAUUAUUUCUUUCUUACGUCUUAUCCUAAUGAACAUUAGCUGGAUUUCUGAUAUUUCACAGCAUCUGUAACAUUU